CGUUUCAUCUUUGCUGAAAUGCAAGGAUCUCAUAAUUCACCAUGCUGUUGACGUUUCUAAGAAGAGAAGUAAUAAAAAGAAGCCUUUUUGUGAAAUAUAGGCCAUUUUCAUAGAAUCUAAAUAGUUCUCAUACAAGCUCAAAGAUGCAACUCAACAAAGAAGACACUAUCCUAGAAUUUAGUGUAAAUGUCUCAUGAUAGUCUGUGGAUGAAACCUACCAGUGCAUCAAUUAGAUUUUUCAUGCCGUGAACAACAUUUCUGUCUGUGAACAAAAAAUUUCGAACAAAUCUAUAGUAUAUGGUCCAUAAAACGAGGUAGAAAAAAAGUUAGGAAGGAAGCUUAAAUGUGAAAAAAGGAAGUAAGGUGUGUGAAGAAAAACACUAAGGAACAGAAAACGAGGGAAGCAAGAACAGAUAUAAAUUAUGAAAAUUGGACACAGAUUUAUGGGUUUUCCGAAUAUAACCUUCACCUUUCAUUUUUAG
This is a non-coding RNA of Pelobates cultripes (western spadefoot toad), 482 nucleotides long. The record is from the annotation of a GenBank genome assembly. NCBI's taxonomy places the organism in Eukaryota, Metazoa, Chordata, Amphibia, Anura, Pelobatidae.